UAAAAUGGCUGAUAAAAGCAUUAGACUGUAAAUCUAAAGAUAGGGGUUUAAGUC
RNAcentral lists this transfer RNA (54 nucleotides) under Canis lupus (wolf). Its description in RNAcentral is "partial tRNA-Tyr". It matches the Rfam family "tRNA", at positions 7 to 59 of the family's 71-position model. Rfam says of the family: Transfer RNA (tRNA) molecules are approximately 80 nucleotides in length. The record is from RNAcentral. Lineage: Eukaryota; Metazoa; Chordata; Mammalia; Carnivora; Canidae.